This is a transfer RNA of Macleaya cordata, 71 nucleotides long. It matches the Rfam family "tRNA". Rfam says of the family: Transfer RNA (tRNA) molecules are approximately 80 nucleotides in length. Their secondary structure includes four short double-helical elements and three loops (D, anti-codon, and T loops). NCBI's taxonomy places the organism in Eukaryota, Viridiplantae, Streptophyta, Magnoliopsida, Ranunculales, Papaveraceae. The record is from Rfam.
GGCUAGGUAAUAUAAUGGAAAUGUAUCGAACUGUAAAUCCUGGAAUGACGAUUCGACCCCGUCCUUAGCCU